UACGGAGGGAGCUAGCGUUGUUCGGCAUUACUGGGCGUAAAGCGCACGUGGGCGGUAUAGUAAGUCAGGGGUGAAAUCCCGGGGCUCAACCCCGGAACUGCCCUUGAAACUGCUAAGCUAGAAUCUUGGAGAGGCGAGUGGAAUUCCGAGUGUAGAGGUGAAAUUCGUAGAUAUUCGGAAGAACACCAGUGGCGAAGGCGACUCGCUGGACAAGUAUUGACGCUGAGGUGCGAAAGCGUGGGGAGCAAACAGG
Molecule: ribosomal RNA, 253 nt
Filed under: uncultured bacterium
Lineage: Bacteria
Description: partial 16S ribosomal RNA
Rfam family: Bacterial small subunit ribosomal RNA
Source: RNAcentral